UCGAACGCUGAAGCCUGGUGCUUGCACCGGGUGGAUGAGUGGCGAACGGGUGAGUAACACGUGAGUAACCUGCCCCUGACUUCGGGAUAAGCCCGGGAAACUGGGUCUAAUACCGGAUACGACUGCCGGACGCAUGUCUGGUGGUGGAAAGUUUUUUCGGUUGGGGAUGGGCUCGCGGCCUAUCAGUUUGUUGGUGAGGUAAUGGCUCACCAAGACGACGACGGGUAGCCGGCCUGAGAGGGCGACCGGCCACACUGGGACUGAGACACGGCCCAGACUCCUACGGGAGGCAGCAGUGGGGAAUAUUGCACAAUGGGGGAAACCCUGAUGCAGCGACGCAGCGUGCGGGAUGACGGCCUUCGGGUUGUAAACCGCUUUCAGCAGGGAAGAAGCGCAAGUGACGGUACCUGCAGAAGAAGUACCGGCUAACUACGUGCCAGCAGCCGCGGUAAUACGUAGGGUACGAGCGUUGUCCGGAAUUAUUGGGCGUAAAGAGCUCGUAGGUGGUUGGUCACGUCUGCUGUGGAAACGCAACGCUUAACGUUGCGCGUGCAGUGGGUACGGGCUGACUAGAGUGCAGUAGGGGAGUCUGGAAUUCCUGGUGUAGCGGUGAAAUGCGCAGAUAUCAGGAGGAACACCGGUGGCGAAGGCGGGACUCUGGGCUGUAACUGACACUGAGGAGCGAAAGCAUGGGGAGCGAACAGGAUUAGAUACCCUGGUAGUCCAUGCCGUAAACGUUGGGCACUAGGUGUGGGGGGCAUUCCACGUUCUCCGCGCCGUAGCUAACGCAUUAAGUGCCCCGCCUGGGGAGUACGGUCGCAAGGCUAAAACUCAAAGGAAUUGACGGGGGCCCGCACAAGCGGCGGAGCAUGCGGAUUAAUUCGAUGCAACGCGAAGAACCUUACCAAGGCUUGACAUACACCGGACCGUCCUGGAAACAGGUCUUCUUCUUUGAAGCUGGUGUACAGGUGGUGCAUGGUUGUCGUCAGCUCGUGUCGUGAGAUGUUGGGUUAAGUCCCGCAACGAGCGCAACCCUCGUUCUAUGUUGCCAGCAUGUGAUGGUGGGAACUCAUAGGAGACUGCCGGGGUCAACUCGGAGGAAGGUGGGGAUGACGUCAAAUCAUCAUGCCCUUUAUGUCUUGGGCUUCACGCAUGCUACAAUGGCUGGUACAGAGAGAGGCGAACCCGUGAGGGCAAGCGAAUCCCUUAAAGCCAGUCUCAGUUCGGAUCGUAGUCUGCAAUUCGACUACGUGAAGUCGGAGUCGCUAGUAAUCGCAGAUCAGCAACGCUGCGGUGAAUACGUUCCCGGGCCUUGUACACACCGCCCGUCAAGUCACGAAAGUCGGUAACACCCGAAGCCGGUGGCCUAACCGUAAGGA
Molecule: ribosomal RNA, 1379 nt
Filed under: Brevibacterium casei
Lineage: Bacteria; Bacillati; Actinomycetota; Actinomycetes; Micrococcales; Brevibacteriaceae
Description: bacterial SSU rRNA
Rfam family: Bacterial small subunit ribosomal RNA
Source: RNAcentral